This 400-nucleotide unclassified non-coding RNA is filed under the name soil metagenome. Its description in RNAcentral is "partial contains 5.8S ribosomal RNA, internal transcribed spacer 2, and large subunit ribosomal RNA". The stretch from base 1 to 122 matches the Rfam family "5.8S ribosomal RNA", at positions 35 to 154 of the family's 154-position model. The record is from RNAcentral.
GAUGAAGAACGUAGCGAAAUGCGAUACUUGGUGUGAAUUGCAGAAUCCCGUGAACCAUCGAGUCUUUGAACGCAAGUUGCGCCUCAAGCCAUUAGGUUGAGGGCACGUCUGCCUGGGCGUCACAUAUCGUUGCCUGAUGCCAGUUUCCUCGUGAUGGGUGACUGUGCAGGGCGAAUGAUGGCUUCCCGUGAGCAUUGUUGCCUCAUGGUUGGUUGAAAAUUGAGUCCUUGGUAGGGAGCGCCGUGAUAGAUGGUGGUUGAGUGACGAACGAGACCCAAUCAUGUGAGACCCCUACCGAAUUUGGCCUUCAUGACCCACAGGCGUCUUUGGAACGCUCAUGACGAGACCUCAGGUCAGGCGGGGCUACCCGCUGAGUUUAAGCAUAUCAAUAAGCGGAGGA